RNAcentral lists this long non-coding RNA (9651 nucleotides) under Triticum aestivum (bread wheat). Its description in RNAcentral is "long non-coding RNA (TAES_LNC000263)". The record is from RNAcentral. Lineage: Eukaryota; Viridiplantae; Streptophyta; Magnoliopsida; Poales; Poaceae.
CCCCAGCAAGCUAUGAAGAUUUGGUUUAUGUCUAACAACUUGUACAACAAGAUAAACUUAGAUCCAAAAGGAUUGCAAUCCAGAUAAUUGUUUGACAUGUAAAGUCGAUAAGAUGAGUCAGUGCCAAUUAUCAUGUUUUCGUCACUCUUAGAUGAUAUGUACAAUAAAAGGCAACUUUGAUGACCACUCCAAAAUUACAUUUGUAUGUAGUGCCACCAAACACAACACACCAAAUAAUCAGUUUGAUAAGCAUCAAAUCACUUUAAAAAAAUAAAAGCUAUAAUGAAAAGAAACCUAACCAUGGUAGCUAUAAAAAGGAUGCAAUAUGUAGACUCCAUACCAUCAUCCAUCCUUCACACAACUAGAGCACAAGUAUCAAAUCCAAUUAAGUAGUAGCCAACACAAAUCCACCAUGAAGACCUUAUUCAUCCUAACAAUCCUUGCGAUGGCAACAACUAUCGCCACCGCGAAUAUGCAGGUCGACCCCAGCGGCCAAGUACAAUGGCCACAACAACAACCAUUCCGCCAGCCCCAACAACCAUUCUACCAGCAACCACAACACACAUUUCCCCAACCCCAACAAACAUUCCCCCAUCAACCACAACAACAAUUUCCCCAGCCCCAGCAACCACAACAACAAUUUCCGCAGCCCCAGCAACCACAACAACCAUUUCCCCAGCCCCAACAAGCCCAACUACCAUUUCCCCAACAACCACAACAACCAUUCCCCCAGCCUCAACAACCCCAACAACCAUUUCCCCAGUCACAGCAACCACAACAACCUUUUCCCCAGCCCCAACAACCGCAACAAUCAUUCCCCCAGCAACAACAACCGUUGAUUCAGCCAUAUCUACAACAACAGAUGAACCCUUGCAAGAAUUACCUCUUACAGCAAUGCAACCCUGUGUCAUUGGUGUCAUCCCUCGUGUCAAUGAUCUUGCCACGAAGUGAUUGCCAGGUGAUGCAGCAACAAUGUUGCCAACAACUAGCACAGAUUCCUCGCCAGCUCCAGUGUGCAGCCAUCCAUAGCGUCGUGCAUUCCAUCGUCAUGCAGCAAGAACAACAACAAGGCAUACAGAUCCUCCGGCCACUGUUUCAGCUCGUCCAAGGUCAGGGCAUCAUCCAACCUCAACAACCAGCUCAAUAUGAGGUGAUCAGGUCAUUGGUAUUGAGAACCCUUCCAAACAUGUGCAACGUGUAUGUCCGACCUGACUGCUCCACCAUCAACGCACCAUUUGCCAGCAUAGUCGCCGGCAUCAGUGGACAAUGAAAAAUGAAGAGUUAUGCUAAUAGGUAGAUGGAUCAUCGUUGCUUAGCUGAUGCACCAGUCUUUGUAGCGAUGAGGAAUAAAGUGGCGUGCACCAUCAUGUGUGACCCCGACCAGAGCUAGUUCAAGCUUCAGAAUAAAACACAAACAAAGUUCUUGUUUGCUAGCUUCGCUUUUCACUGUUCCAUUUACUUUUUAUUUUCAUGUUCGUUCCUAACCGCAAUCCUAGCCUUACACAUCAAUAGCUAGCUACUUCUGCUGGCAGGUUACUAUUUAAUCUAUCGAUUAAUGGUCGAUGUAUUAAUCCAGUUAAUAGGUUGAUUGAUAUAUUAGUUACUGCUCCCAAGCCGACCGAGCGCUAUCAGUUAGGGAUUUCCUGAACAUUGCACACAAUAAUAAUUCAAUGUAUUUCAAUGUCUAGAAGUGAAAGGGCCAUUUUAGCACCAAAACAAGAGGCUGAUUAGAAACCAUCCAUCACUCUAAAUGUUAAUCUGAAUAUUUUUGCAUUGGUGCAAUUUUGAGUUUGGUGGCACCGAAGCAUUCUUCAAAAGCAAAUUUUAGGGGACUCCAAAGAGGUGAAAAUCAAACCAAAGUUGCCACAUGGUAAAAGAUAAACCAUGCGGUGAGCAAGAGAAAAUAAUUAGUCACAAUAGCAAGAACCAAACACUUGAUAUGAUUUCGUGCGGAGAUGGAAACAAUUUAUAUAUGACAAACAAAGCAUAAGUUGCAUUAGUUUUAAUUGAUUGUAGAAAUUUAUUUUACCUGUAGAAUAACUCAGUUGUUAUCUCUUUAAACAUGCAUUGUGAUAUUGACUUGUCUCAAUCUAUGAACACAAAGCAAAUAUUGCAUUUGCGGUUAUGGUCUCCAAACAGAUGAGAAAUCAGUCUGUGUAGAAAGUUCCUUAGAAGGAUAUUACUGAAUCAAGGAAAUAUUGUAGGAGUAAGAACUGGGGAAAGUAGUGGCUGCACCCACCCUCGGUGCACCCACGGUGCACUCACGCAAGAAAACAUAUCAGAACAUUUCGAAAAAAUCUGAAACUUCGUGGAGAUGAUCAUCAACAAAUGUCACGAGGGCUUGCAAAGUUUGGUGGUCAAAUAACAUUCAAGAAGCGCUCUACAAAAAAGACAAAAUUGCAAAAUCUGCUCAAACGGUGCACGUACAUUUUGACUAAUUUUCAGUGAUUUUGUCUUUUUUGUAGAGAGCUCCUCGAAUGUUAUUUGACCACCAAAUUUUGCAAGCCCCCAUAACAUUUGUUGAUGAUCAUUUCCACGAAGUUUCAGAUUUUUUCAAAAUGUUUUGAUAUGUUUUCUUGCGUGGGUGCACCGUGGGUGCACCGGGAGUGGGUGUAGAAGAACCACUCUCGUAAGAACUGGAAUGGGGAAAAACUGGAGCGCUUUAUCCAGCCUCCUCUCUAUAUUCUACAUGGAUAUCGUCUGUUACAUCUUAGCCCCCAACUGUUACAUGUUCACACAUUUAUAUAACUCAACAGGAUAUAAUAGUUUUGAGCUAAACAAAUUUACUAUUGUACUCAUGUCUUGCAUAGUUAAAGUUGAAAAUCAACGUAAGUAGUGGAUAGUUUGAAAGACAAGUGUGGGAAACAAAUAGUAGGAUAUAAAUUUGAGUAGAAUGUGUGAUCAAUUGUUGACCACAUAGCCCAGCAAACUACUAAAACUAAGAAAAACAAGAUAUUCUACCUUGUACAAACUGUCACAUUGAUAAAACUAUGAUUUGUUUUUGAAAAAUCUGUAGCCCGGAACUAAUAUAAAUUCAAACAAAUCUGUCACAGAUCCCUGAGCCCAUCCAAAAAUUAAUGGUAGUGGAAACUGAAAGAACUAUUAACACGAUUAGACCCAAAUGAUCUAUGUUCCAACAAUUAAUGAUAUUUGAAACUAAAACACGAGUGUUCUAUGUUCUACUACCUAUGUGUAUAAAUAUAAGACGUUUGGCGGUUUAAAAUGAACUGCCAAAAUGUCCUAUAUUAAGGAACAGCGGGUGUACCAAGUAUAUUCUAUGGUCCAAAUUUGUUCAUGUAAAGUGUAUCUUUAACUGAUGCCCUAAAAAAUAGCGGUGUAAUUAGCCGAGUAAAAGAUUUGUGGAGUAAAUUUACUCAACUAACUUUUGGCUGCACCUAACGGAUCUCCUAAAUUUAGCAGAAGUAAUAUUUUCUUGUCACAUUCAUUUCAUUUUCAGCCACUGAAAUAUAUCGGAAUACACAAUUAACAAAUUCUUCAUGAAAAAAAUGAAACCAAAAAAACUAAAACCACAAUUAGACACUUUAAUAGAAAUUCAACUUCCAUAACUGCUGCUGAAAGUUGGUAAACAGAUUUCAGACUUAGUGAAAUUAACGCUUGUCUGGAAUUUCAGAUCAGAUAGCACUCUUUGGAGCAUGAAAACAAUAUGCUACAGGACCUGAACAUGACAAAGUAAAGCAUGGCAUGGAGCUACUCAAAGAGCUUAACAAAAGUCCCUUAGUGACCUUGAUCCAAAAUGGAUUAGAAAAUACAUUUGCAAGCAUGUGAACAUGGCAAAAACAUAAUCAGUUCUCAGACUUAGUGAAAACUGGAGCAUGCUAAAACAGAUAUCAAGUAAGCAUGUUUACGAGCUUGAUGCACUCACUACAGAGCAAGUCAUGACAAUCUAAGCAUACACACAUCAAGAAUACACAAAAUAAAAGCUAGACAUGGCACGAACAAUAACAUAGCAUGCACGGAUCAACUACAACAUCAUCGGCAAAAUUGCUAACAAGUAGACAAUCUGCCCAGAUUCACGAAAUAGCAAAAGUAGAGCUCGAUUGACUCAAUCUAGGGUGCUCCAUAAUUUCAAACAAAGACAUAUAUGGAUAGAGCACUACAAGAUUAACAAAACAUCUUUACUGAUCAUCCUCAAAAGAGGCACGGAUCACUAGGAAUCAACAUGAACAUAUGGCAUAUUGAGAUAACCAGCCAAGGACUUAGUGGAAAUGCCAAGUCCCUGAAAUCAGCAUUAACGAAUGCUCCACUUUGCAAGCUUGUGCUAGUCACCACACACAUCACAAAAAUACAUGGGUUGCACCUCUGGAUAGAUGGCAAAACAUGUAACAAAACUCAUGUAGAGCUCAGGGGCAUAUCAUGCACACAAUAAUCAUGGCAAAAAUGACAAAUAUCUAAUUGGAGCAUCAGAUCUGACAAUUAUCUCAAAUAGCACUCUUUCAACAGCAUUUCGGGCAUCAAGAUUAACUCAAAUGAAAAUGAUGCAAUGAGAUGAAAUGAUGUACUCUCUGAGAUGAACAUUUUGAUAUGCUAUAUGCCCAAAACGGAGCUACAUAUGCGGAGAUAUAGCAUGAUGAAAAACGCACAAAACUAGGGUUAGGGACGAAAAAGUCAACCAAGAGGGAGUUUCCAGAUCCAGAUCGGGAUCUCACGAGUACUGUAGCGGCACGGAGUACGAGGUUCGUCGCUGGAUUUGGGCCGGCCGGAGUUGGACGGCGAGGCGGCCGGAGAGAGGGAGGCGCCGGAGUGGGGCGGCACCGGCCGGUGAGGAGGAGGCGGCCGCGGUCGUCGACGAGGUAGCGCGGCGGGGUGGCGACCGGAGCGGCACGGUCGCCGGCGAGGUUGAGCUGCGGCGCGGUGGCAUGGAUCGCCGGAGACGGAGGAGAGGGGCGGCGCGGUGAGCCGGAGAGGAGGCGGGGCGGAGCGGGCCGCGGGGGCCGUGGUUGGGCCCGGCGGGCUUCUGCGAUGUGGGGUGCGCCGGCGCAAUGUGGCGGAGCGCGGUAGGUCGGGCGGCAGCGGGCGGACAUGUCCGGUCCGCUCCGGANNNNNNNNNNNNNNNNNNNNNNNNNNNNNNNNNNNNNNNNNNNNNNNNNNNNNNNNNNNNNNNNNNNNNNNNNNNNNNNNNNNNNNNNNNNNNNNNNNNNNNNNNNNNNNNNNNNNNNNNNNNNNNNNNNNNNNNNNNNNNNNNNNNNNNNNNNNNNNNNNNNNNNNNNNNNNNNNNNNNNNNNNNNNNNNNNNNNNNNNNNNNNNNNNNNNNNNNNNNNNNNNNNNNNNNNNNNNNNNNNNNNNNNNNNNNNNNNNNNNNNNNNNNNNNNNNNNNNNNNNNNNNNNNNNNNNNNNNNNNNNNNNNNNNNNNNNNNNNNNNNNNNNNNNNNNNNNNNNNNNNNNNNNNNNNNNNNNNGAGCUAGGAAGCUCCAAAUGGAGUCCGGUUUUCGGCCAUGCGAUUGUGAUUGAACGCUCUAGAUGAUGGAGAAGGUUUUGGUGGGUUUUGGGCCAAAAUGGAGAGGUGUUGGGUUGCAACACACCCGAGGCCUUUUCAGUCCCUCGGUUAACCGUUGGAGCAUCAAACGAAGUCCAAAUGGUACGAAACUUGACAGGCGGCCUACCGGUAGUAAACCAAGGCCGCUUGGCAAGUCUCGGUCCAAUCCGGAAAUGUUUAAUCCCCACACACGAAAGAAAGGUAGAAAUGACCACCGGAGGAGAACGGAGCGCCGGAAUGCAAAACGGACAACGGGGAAAAUGCUCGAAUGCAUGAGAUGAACACGUAUGCAAAUGCAGUGCACAUGACGACAUGAUAUGAGAUGCAUGACAACGAUAACAACACACGGAGACAAAGACCCGAACCCGAGAAAAUAAAAUAACUUAACGCCGGAAACGACAAGAGUUGGAGUACAUAUUGGGAAAAUCAUAUCCGGGGUGUUACAGUUUUCCUCUCCUCCACUUCACCCUUGCCGUUUUAUUCGCCCUCUCUCUCUAUCCUCCCUCUCUUUCUCUAUUUGCCUCUUUUUGCCCGUUUCUCGUUUGCUUCUGUGUUGGAUUGCUUGCUUGUCAUGAUGGCUCAAGAUAACAUUAAAUUGUGUGACUUUACCAAUACCAACAACAAUGAUUUUAUUAGCACUCUGAUUUCUCCUCUUACCGAUGCUGAAUCUUGUGAAAUUAAUGCUGCCUUGCUGAAUCUUGUCAUGAAAGAUCCAUUUUCCGGCCUUCCUAGUGAAGAUGCUGCUACCCAUCUAAAUAGCUUCGUUGAUUUGUGUGAUAUGCAAAAGAAGAAAGAUGUGGAUAAUGAUAUUGUUAAAUUGAAGCUAUUUCCUUUUUCUCUUAGAGUUCGUGCUAAAGCUUUGUUUUCGUCUUUGCCUAAAAUAGUUUUGAUUCGUGGAAUAAGUGCAAAGAUGCUUUUAUCUCUAAGUAUUUUCCUCCCGCUAAGAUCAUCUCUCUUAGAAACAAUAUUAUGAAUUUUAAGCAACUUGAUCAUGAACAUGUUGCACAAGCUUGGGAGAGGAUGAAAUUAAUGAUACGUAAUUGCCCAACACAUGGUUUGAAUUUGUGGAUGAUUAUACAAAAAAUUUACGCUGGAUUGAAUUUUUCUUAUAGAAAUCUUUUAGAUUCGGCCGCGGGAGGCACUUUUAUGGAAAUCACUUUAGGAGAAGCUACUAAACUCCUAGAUAAUAUUAUGGUUAAUUAUUCUUAAUGGCACACUGAAAGAUCUACUAAUAAAAAAGUGCAUGUGAUAGAAGAAAUUAAUGUUUUGAGUGGAAAGAUGGAUGACUUAUGAAAUUAUUUUUUAAUAAAAGUGUUUCUUCUGAUCCAAAUGAUACGCCUUUGUCUACUUUGAUUGAGAAUAAUAAUGAAUGUAAGGAUGUGAAUUUUGUUGGUAGGAACAAUUUUGGUAACAACGCGUAUAGAGAAAAUUUAAUCCUAGGCCUUAUCCUAGUAAUUCCUCUAAUAAUUAUGGUAAUUCCUACAACAAUUCUUAUGGAAAUUAUAAUAAUGCCCUCUGAUUUUGAAUAUAAUAUUAAAGAAUUUAUUAUUUCGCAAAAGAAUUUCAAUGCUUUGAUUGAAGAAAAUUUGCAUAAGACUGAUGAGUUGGCUAGGAACGUUGAUAGAAUUUCUCUUGAUGUUGAUUCUUUGAAACUUAGAUCUAUUCCACCUAAGCAUGAUAUCAAUGAGUAUCUCAAAACCAUGAGAAUUUGCAUUGAUGAGUGCAAAGAAAGAACCGCUAGGAUGCGUGCUAAGAAAGAUUCCUUUAUAAGAGCGUGUUCUUCUAGUUUCCAUGAUAAUAAAGAUGAAGAUCUAAAAGUUAUUGAUGUGUCCCCUAUUAAAUCUUUGUUUUGCAAUAUGAAUCUUGAUAAUGAUGGGACUGAAUAUGAUCCACCUUUACCUAGAAGGCGUUCCAAAAAUUCGGAGUUUUUAGAUCUUGAUGCUAAAAUUUAUAAAAGUGGGAUUAAAGAGAUCAAAACUCUAGAUACUAAUGAACCUACUAUUCGGAGUUUUUAUUGUAUUUCCUUGUUGCAAUCCGUGUUAAAUUCUCCUCAUGCUUAUAGUCAAAAUAAAGCUUUUACCAAACAGUUAUCAUGAACAACUUCAACUAAAUGCAUCAAAUGUUACAAAUAAUACAUACAAACUUAGUUUAAUAAAUUAAUGAAUUAAAGCGAGAACAAACCUUCAAAUGUAAUUUAGAGUGAAUCAAUUAAGACCAUGUAAAGCUAUUACUAGUCCAAUAUUAAUUAAUAACUUGCACAUAAUUGCAACCAUUGACAUAAAAAGGGAAUAUGAUGAGUCAUGUAUUGAGAAUGUGUACAACAUUACUACCAUUGACAUAAAAGGAGAAUUUGAUGAGUCGUAUCAGCUUGUUCAUCUUACCAUUAUACUACACAACACUGCAAGCUAGUUUAAAAAAAAUAAGAGUACAGAAUGAACAUUAGAAUAGCCUGAUCUAUCUUUGACAACAUGCACAAGGAUACAAAUUUAGUCCCCCGCAAGCUAUGAAGAUUUGGUUUAUGUCUAACAACUUGUACAACAAGAUAAACUUAGAUCCAAAAGGAUUGCAAUCCAGAUAAUUGUUUGACAUGUAAAGUCGAUAAGAUGAGUCAGUGCCAAUUAUCAUGUUUUCGUCACUCUUAGAUGAUAUGUACAAUAAAAGGCAACUUUGAUGACCACUCCAAAAUUACAUUUGUAUGUAGUGCCACCAAACACAACACACCAAAUAAUCAGUUUGAUAAGCAUCAAAUCACUUUAAAAAAAUAAAAGCUAUAAUGAAAAGAAACCUAACCAUGGUAGCUAUAAAAAGGAUGCAAUAUGUAGACUCCAUACCAUCAUCCAUCCUUCACACAACUAGAGCACAAGUAUCAAAUCCAAUUAAGUAGUAGCCAACACAAAUCCACCAUGAAGACCUUAUUCAUCCUAACAAUCCUUGCGAUGGCAACAACUAUCGCCACCGCGAAUAUGCAGGUCGACCCCAGCGGCCAAGUACAAUGGCCACAACAACAACCAUUCCGCCAGCCCCAACAACCAUUCUACCAGCAACCACAACACACAUUUCCCCAACCCCAACAAACAUUCCCCCAUCAACCACAACAACAAUUUCCCCAGCCCCAGCAACCACAACAACAAUUUCCGCAGCCCCAGCAACCACAACAACCAUUUCCCCAGCCCCAACAAGCCCAACUACCAUUUCCCCAACAACCACAACAACCAUUCCCCCAGCCUCAACAACCCCAACAACCAUUUCCCCAGUCACAGCAACCACAACAACCUUUUCCCCAGCCCCAACAACCGCAACAAUCAUUCCCCCAGCAACAACAACCGUUGAUUCAGCCAUAUCUACAACAACAGAUGAACCCUUGCAAGAAUUACCUCUUACAACAAUGCAACCCUGUGUCAUUGGUGUCAUCCCUCGUGUCAAUGAUAUUGCCACGAAGUGAUUGCCAGGUGAUGCAGCAACAAUGUUGCCAACAACUAGCACAGAUUCCUCGCCAGCUCCAGUGUGCAGCCAUCCAUAGCGUCGUGCAUUCCAUCGUCAUGCAGCAAGAACAACAACAAGGCAUACAGAUCCUCCGGCCACUGUUUCAGCUCGUCCAAGGUCAGGGCAUCAUCCAACCUCAACAACCAGCUCAAUAUGAGGUGAUCAGGUCAUUGGUAUUGAGAACCCUUCCAAACAUGUGCAACGUGUAUGUCCGACCUGACUGCUCCACCAUCAACGCACCAUUUGCCAGCAUAGUCGCCGGCAUCAGUGGACAAUGAAAAAUGAAGAGUUAUGCUAAUAGGUAGAUGGAUCAUCGUUGCUUAGCUGAUGCACUAGUCUUUGUAGCGAUGAGGAAUAAAGUGGCGUGCACCAUCAUGUGUGACCCCGACCAGAGCUAGUUCAAGCUUCAGAAUAAAACACAAACAAAGUUCUUGUUUGCUAGCUUCGCUUUUCACUGUUCCAUUUACUUUUUAUUUUCAUGUUCGUUCCUAACCGCAAUCCUAGCCUUACACAUCAAUAGCUAGCUACUUCUGCUGGCAGGUUACUAUUUAAUCUAUCGAUUAAUGGUCGAUGUAUUAAUCCAGUUAAUAGGUUGAUUGAUAUAUUAGUUACUGCUCCCAAGCCGACCGAGCGCUAUCAGUUAGGGAUUUCCUGAACAUUGCACACAAUAAUAA